GAUGAACGCUGACAGAAUGCUUAACACAUGCAAGUCAACUUGAAUUUGGGUUUUUAACUUAGGUUUGGGUGGCGGACGGGUGAGUAACGCGUAAAGAACUUGCCUCACAGCUAGGGACAACAUUUGGAAACGAAUGCUAAUACCUAAUAUUAUGAUAAUAGGGCAUCCUAUAAUUAUGAAAGCUAUAAGCGCUGUGAGAGAGCUUUGCGCCCCAUUAGCUAGUUGGAGAGGUAACGGCUCACCAAGGCGAUGAUGGGUAGCCGGCCUGAGAGGGUGAUCGGCCACAAGGGGACUGAGACACGGCCCUUACUCCUACGGGAGGCAGCAGUGGGGAAUAUUGGACAAUGGACCAAGAGUCUGAUCCAGCAAUUCUGUGUGCACGAUGAAGUUUUUCGGAAUGUAAAGUGCUUUCAGUUGGGAAGAAAGAAAUGACGGUACCAACAGAAGAAGUGACGGCUAAAUACGUG
Molecule: ribosomal RNA, 467 nt
Filed under: uncultured bacterium
Lineage: Bacteria
Description: partial 16S ribosomal RNA
Rfam family: Bacterial small subunit ribosomal RNA
Source: RNAcentral